UACGAAGGGGGCUAGCGUUGCUCGGAAUCACUGGGCGUAAAGCGCACGUAGGCGGUCUGUUAUGUCGGAUGUGAAAGCCCUUGGCUCAACUGAGGAAGUGCAUCCGAAACUGGCAGGCUGGAGUACGUAAGAGGGUCGCGGAAUUCCCGGUGUAGAGGUGAAAUUCGUAGAUAUCGGGAGGAACACCGGUGGCGAAGGCGGCGACCUGGGACGAUACUGACGCUGAGGUGCGAAAGCGUGGGGAGCAAACAGG
RNAcentral lists this ribosomal RNA (253 nucleotides) under uncultured bacterium. RNAcentral's name for it is "partial 16S ribosomal RNA". It matches the Rfam family "Bacterial small subunit ribosomal RNA", at positions 524 to 776 of the family's 1533-position model. The record is from RNAcentral.